RNAcentral lists this non-coding RNA (65 nucleotides) under Streptomyces abyssalis. The record is from RNAcentral. Lineage: Bacteria; Bacillati; Actinomycetota; Actinomycetes; Kitasatosporales; Streptomycetaceae.
AGCGAGACCACAACCGGUUCUCCGGACGAGGGUUGCCGUACCCGGCCAUGACAAGACGGCAUCGA